This 29-nucleotide non-coding RNA is filed under the name Mus musculus (house mouse). The record is from RNAcentral. Lineage: Eukaryota; Metazoa; Chordata; Mammalia; Rodentia; Muridae.
UAUCAGGAGAAUGAAUGGAAAUAUGCAGC